CGGGAAACUAAAUCUAGCAGAUUCUCGAGGAACCGCACGACGCAGCCCACCACAACCCUUGGCCCCGCCCUCUUGCUCCUCCGCCCUCACGCUACUGGCUGCCCGCAGGCUAGACACGCCUACUCCGGCUCCGCCCCCUUGUCUUCGGAGACCCAGGGGAGCUGGGGUUCUGGCACCGAGUAGCGCUGGCUCUUUCCCAGCAGACAACCUGAGUCUUCUGAUUGGUCCUGGGCGGUCGUGGCGUGAUGACGUCGCGUCCUCGGGCGGUGUUCGCGGCCGGGUGCGGGGUUUGGGCUAACUGUCUCUGGUGGGGCUGUCGGUGCUCUGGCGUCCUGGGCAUCUGGGCAGCCCCACGCGCGGCAGCGGGAGCAGACUGGGACAGCGGAGCGGAGCGAGCACGGGCAGGCGGCUUCCCAGCACUGCCUCAGGCUCAAGGCUCCUCCGCGACCCGGGAGUAGGCUGUGGCGGAGGGUCAGGUCGAGUUCGCGCGCCUUUAUCUGCCUUAGAUUUGGUGAAAGUAUCGCGGCUUUGAAGAUAACCGUCUCUCACAGGCUUGGCUGAUGAUGUUUACAUUUUUAAGAUGAAAAAUCCUAUCAUUUGGUUCCCUGACCAGGAAGGCAGCAUGACUCCUGGGGUCCUCCCAGUUUGAGUCUCCCUGCCAAUUCACUGACUGGACCACAUCUUGGAUUAAUUCCUCAUUUAUCAACACGUGGGAGCUGCUCAACUUGUGGACACCAGCCUGCAAACAACACCGGCCUAAUUAAUUUACCUCAGCAGUGGCACUUGGGGCUCCCAAGACAGUAAAGCCAAAACAAGGUGGAGCUGCCUGAGCCCCUCCCAGACCAUGCUUCAAGUGCAGCAAAGAAGGACAUUGGGCAAGAGAAAGCACCAGUCUUGGAAUUCAUCACUGACUGACUUGUCCCCAAUAAGUCUAACAUGUGGGCAUUCACCAAUGAUAAAGCUGUCCUGGCUGAAACACCUGGCACCAGCCUCUGCAUGGGCAUCAACUGUCAUCCCAUCAACCUUCCUAAUCCCCAAUACGAUACCCCCUUUCAGCAGGAAGUAGUAAGAGAGAGAGAGACUUCGCCCUUUUCCUAACAAUAAAAAGAUGGGAAUGAAAGGAUUCUGCCCUAGAUAGGAUAUUAUAGCAGUGGGAGGCAGGACCAAGGCAUGUUUAGCUUGAGGUCACUUUCCCCUCACCUAUCCAACUUACCUGUGACAUGAAAAGAGUCCCAAUCAGCUAUUCACGCAUCAGCAAUGCCACCUUAAGCACCAUCUCAGUCAGAAACUAUAUGUAUGCCCCCUGCACCACAUGUCCAGUAAAGAAAGCCAGACUCCCAGUGGUCAUGGGGUUUCUCUCCGCGUUCUUAGAAUAAAGGCCACUUUAUUUAUUUAUUUUUUGUCUUUUUCUUUUUUAUCGGUACCAGGGAUCGAACUCAUGACCACACACUUGAAAGGCAGGCGCUUAUGCCGUUGAGCUAAAUCCCUAGCCCCAAGGCCAUUUUAUUUUAUAUUCUCUCUUUUUACCACGCUGAAAAUCGUAUUACCUUCUUCUUCUGGCUCAAGACCCCAUUUGUGUACCCAAAACCACAAAUGCUCAAGUCUUUUUAAUGCAGUAGAAUUGCAUAUAACCUAUGUACACUGUAU
Long non-coding RNA from Cavia porcellus (domestic guinea pig), 1647 nucleotides. NCBI's taxonomy places the organism in Eukaryota, Metazoa, Chordata, Mammalia, Rodentia, Caviidae. The record is from Ensembl.